AGUCGAGCGGUAGCACAGAGAGCUUGCUCUCGGGUGACGAGCGGCGGACGGGUGAGUAAUGUCUGGGAAACUGCCUGAUGGAGGGGGAUAACUACUGGAAACGGUAGCUAAUACCGCAUAACGUCGCAAGACCAAAGUGGGGGACCUUCGGGCCUCAUGCCAUCAGAUGUGCCCAGAUGGGAUUAGCUGGUAGGUGGGGUAACGGCUCACCUAGGCGACGAUCCCUAGCUGGUCUGAGAGGAUGACCAGCCACACUGGAACUGAGACACGGUCCAGACUCCUACGGGAGGCAGCAGUGGGGAAUAUUGCACAAUGGGCGCAAGCCUGAUGCAGCCAUGCCGCGUGUGUGAAGAAGGCCUUCGGGUUGUAAAGCACUUUCAGCGGGGAGGAAGGCGGUGAGGUUAAUAACCUCAUCGAUUGACGUUACCCGCAGAAGAAGCACCGGCUAACUCCGUGCCAGCAGCCGCGGUAAUACGGAGGGUGCAAGCGUUAAUCGGAAUUACUGGGCGUAAAGCGCACGCAGGCGGUCUGUCAAGUCGGAUGUGAAAUCCCCGGGCUCAACCUGGGAACUGCAUUCGAAACUGGCAGGCUAGAGUCUUGUAGAGGGGGGUAGAAUUCCAGGUGUAGCGGUGAAAUGCGUAGAGAUCUGGAGGAAUACCGGUGGCGAAGGCGGCCCCCUGGACAAAGACUGACGCUCAGGUGCGAAAGCGUGGGGAGCAAACAGGAUUAGAUACCCUGGUAGUCCACGCUGUAAACGAUGUCGAUUUGGAGGUUGUGCCCUUGAGGCGUGGCUUCCGGAGCUAACGCGUUAAAUCGACCGCCUGGGGAGUACGGCCGCAAGGUUAAAACUCAAAUGAAUUGACGGGGGCCCGCACAAGCGGUGGAGCAUGUGGUUUAAUUCGAUGCAACGCGAAGAACCUUACCUGGUCUUGACAUCCACAGAACUUUCCAGAGAUGGAUUGGUGCCUUCGGGAACUGUGAGACAGGUGCUGCAUGGCUGUCGUCAGCUCGUGUUGUGAAAUGUUGGGUUAAGUCCCGCAACGAGCGCAACCCUUAUCCUUUGUUGCCAGCGGUUAGGCCGGGAACUCAAAGGAGACUGCCAGUGAUAAACUGGAGGAAGGUGGGGAUGACGUCAAGUCAUCAUGGCCCUUACGACCAGGGCUACACACGUGCUACAAUGGCAUAUACAAAGAGAAGCGACCUCGCGAGAGCAAGCGGACCUCAUAAAGUAUGUCGUAGUCCGGAUUGGAGUCUGCAACUCGACUCCAUGAAGUCGGAAUCGCUAGUAAUCGUAGAUCAGAAUGCUACGGUGAAUACGUUCCCGGGCCUUGUACACACCGCCCGUCACACCAUGGGAGUGGGUUGCAAAAGAAGUAGGUAGCUUANCCUUCGGGAGGGCG
Molecule: ribosomal RNA, 1400 nt
Filed under: Klebsiella sp.
Lineage: Bacteria; Pseudomonadati; Pseudomonadota; Gammaproteobacteria; Enterobacterales; Enterobacteriaceae
Description: bacterial SSU rRNA
Rfam family: Bacterial small subunit ribosomal RNA
Source: RNAcentral